UACUUUAAAGAAUCACAUGAGAACACAUACAGGUGAUAAACCUCAUGACUGCGAUGUAUGUGGUAGAGACUUUAGUCGGCUGGAUAGUUUAAAGACCCACAUGAAAACACAUACGGACGAUAAACCUCAUGCCUGUGAUGUUUGUGGUAAAGGGUUUAGUCUGCGUCGUUAUUUACAGAGGCACAUGAGAAUACAUACAGG
This 201-nucleotide long non-coding RNA is filed under the name Mytilus galloprovincialis (Mediterranean mussel). The record is from RNAcentral. Lineage: Eukaryota; Metazoa; Mollusca; Bivalvia; Mytilida; Mytilidae.